AGAGUUUGAUCCUGGCUCAGAAUCAACGCUGGCGGCGCGCCUAACACAUGCAAGUCGAACGAGAAAGCGGGAGCAAUCUCGCAAGUACAGUGGCGUACGGGUGAGUAACACGUGGAUUAUCUGCCCUGGAGUGGGGAAUAACGCUGGGAAACCGGCGCUAAUACCGCAUAUUCCCGAGAGGGGAAAGCAGCAAUGCGCUCGAGGAGGAGUCCGCGGCCGAUUAGCUAGUUGGCAGGGUAAAAGCCUACCAAGGCUAUGAUCGGUAGCCGGCCUGAGAGGGCACACGGCCACACUGGCACUGAAACACGGGCCAGACUCCUACGGGAGGCAGCAGUGGGGAAUCUUGCACAAUGGGGGAAACCCUGAUGCAGCGACGCCGCGUGAGCGAUGAAGCCCUUCGGGGUGUAAAGCUCUUUCGGCAGGGAAGAUUAUGACGGUACCUGCAGAAGCAGCUGCGGCUAACUACGUGCCAGCAGCCGCGGUAAUACGUAGGCAGCAAGCGUUGUUCGGAGUUACUGGGCGUAAAGGGUGUGUAGGUGGCCUGUUAAGUUCCGUGUGAAAUCUCCCGGCUCAACCGGGAGGGUGCGCGGAAAACUGGCGGGCUAGAGUACGGGAUGGGAGAGUAGAAUUCCCGGUGUAGCGGUGAAAUGCGUAGAUAUCAGGAGGAAUACCGGUGGUGUAGACGGCUCUCUGGACCGUAACUGACACUGAGACACGAAAGCGUGGGUAGCAAACAGGAUUAGAUACCCUGGUAGUCC
This 758-nucleotide ribosomal RNA is filed under the name uncultured bacterium. RNAcentral's name for it is "bacterial SSU rRNA". It matches the Rfam family "Bacterial small subunit ribosomal RNA", at positions 8 to 796 of the family's 1533-position model. The record is from RNAcentral.